UGCUAUACAUGCAAGUCGAGCGGACCGACGGGAGCUUGCUCCCUUAGGUCAGCGGCGGACGGGUGAGUAACACGUGGGUAACCUGCCUGUAAGACUGGGAUAACUCCGGGAAACCGGGGCUAAUACCGGAUGCUUGAUUGAACCGCAUGGUUCAAUCAUAAAAGGUGGCUUUUAGCUACCACUUACAGAUGGACCCGCGGCGCAUUAGCUAGUUGGUGAGGUAACGGCUCACCAAGGCGACGAUGCGUAGCCGACCUGAGAGGGUGAUCGGCCACACUGGGACUGAGACACGGCCCAGACUCCUACGGGAGGCAGCAGUAGGGAAUCUUCCGCAAUGGACGAAAGUCUGACGGAGCAACGCCGCGUGAGUGAUGAAGGUUUUCGGAUCGUAAAACUCUGUUGUUAGGGAAGAACAAGUACCGUUCGAAUAGGGCGGUACCUUGACGGUACCUAACCAGAAAGCCACGGCUAACUACGUGCCAGCAGCCGCGGUAAUACGUAGGUGGCAAGCGUUGUCCGGAAUUAUUGGGCGUAAAGCGCGCGCAGGCGGUUUCUUAAGUCUGAUGUGAAAGCCCCCGGCUCAACCGGGGAGGGUCAUUGGAAACUGGGGAACUUGAGUGCAGAAGAGGAGAGUGGAAUUCCACGUGUAGCGGUGAAAUGCGUAGAGAUGUGGAGGAACACCAGUGGCGAAGGCGACUCUCUGGUCUGUAACUGACGCUGAGGCGCGAAAGCGUGGGGAGCGAACAGGAUUAGAUACCCUGGUAGUCCACGCCGUAAACGAUGAGUGCUAAGUGUUAGA
Molecule: ribosomal RNA, 799 nt
Filed under: Bacillus subtilis
Lineage: Bacteria; Bacillati; Bacillota; Bacilli; Caryophanales; Bacillaceae
Description: bacterial SSU rRNA
Rfam family: Bacterial small subunit ribosomal RNA
Source: RNAcentral